RNAcentral lists this transfer RNA (77 nucleotides) under Bacilli bacterium. Its description in RNAcentral is "tRNA-Met". It matches the Rfam family "tRNA". From Rfam's summary of the family: Transfer RNA (tRNA) molecules are approximately 80 nucleotides in length. Their secondary structure includes four short double-helical elements and three loops (D, anti-codon, and T loops). The record is from RNAcentral. Lineage: Bacteria; Bacillati; Bacillota; Bacilli. RNAcentral also lists the same sequence under 2 other names.
GGCGAUGUAGCUCAGUUGGCUAGAGCACCUGGUUCAUACCCAGUAGGUCGGUGGUUCGAAUCCACUCGUCGCUACCA